GACGAUCAGAUACCGUCGUAGUCUUAACUAUAAAUGAUACUGACCAGAGAUAGGAUUCUGUCCAUCUCGACUUCUCCUGGAUCUUAGGGAAACUAUAGUCUUUGAGUUCUGGGGGGAGUAUGGUCGCAAGGCUGAAACUUAAAGGAAUUGACGGAAGGGCACACAAAGAGUGGAACCUGCGGCUUAAUUUGACUCAACACGGGAAAACUCACCAGGUCCAGAUACACGUAUGAAAGACAAGCUGAAAGACUUUUCUCAAUGAUGUAAGUGGUGGUGCAUGAUCGUUCUUAGUUCGUGGAUUGAUUUGUCUGGUCUAUUCCGAUAACGAGCGAGACCCCUCCGUUCCUACUAGGGGUGGCAGCCCGGCUCGCGCCCUCACGGGAGCUUGCUAGCAGCUACUUAAGAUUUACUUCUUAGACGUAUCAGAGCCGAUAAGGUUCUUGAAAUGGGUUAAUAACAGGUCAGUCAUGCCCUUAGAUGUUCUGGGCCGCACGCGCGUUACAAUGGCAUGAA
Molecule: ribosomal RNA, 513 nt
Filed under: Diderma europaeum
Lineage: Eukaryota; Evosea; Eumycetozoa; Physariida; Didymiaceae
Description: SSU rRNA
Rfam family: Eukaryotic small subunit ribosomal RNA
Source: RNAcentral